AAAAACUUUGAAAAUUAAAUGAGCCAAAACAAAGAUAUUCAAAGCUCAACUGCGACUAAAGAACCCAAAAAACACAAAACGCGUUUAUAGCAUAGCACCUCAGAAAAUUGAAUAAAUAUGGAAGCUGUAGUGUUACAAUAAGAAAGAGGCAAAGCGGUGUAAAAAUAAAUAAACAAAAUGGCCCCAUAACCCUUGCAAAGAAUAUCAUCAAUUUUUCUUCUUUUCUUCCCGAGUACCAAGACUAUUAAGAUAAAUUCCCAUCCGCUUUCACCGAAAGACAAACAAAACUGCACAACGAUGACACAAACACCUUGACACCCACUUCCAUGGGGACUAUCUUGUGGGAGAAUUGUAAGGGUUUAUGGGUCCAAUCGUUCCCCAACCAUCUACUAAUUCCCUUUCACAUGAAUAGAGCAGUACAUAAAUUAGUUUACACCACUUCAGUACCUUCAUUUCUUGUUUAUGUACACCAGGGCGGCCUUCUAAGGACAAAAUGAUUCCGAAACAAACUUAGCAAUUGAUGCCGCAUUGACCAUUUGCAGUAGCUUUUGUAGAAUCUGUUGUGAAGGGGUCGAUCCGAACCCAUAGCAAGGAGAAAAUGGAAGCAAGAAGUAUGGACCAGACGAUGACAAUGGUUGGCGUGCGAUUUUGCCGACCUACUAAACCCUUCAAGAAUGGGUACAAAUGAGCAAUAACCCAUAUUGCGAAGAACAGCUUGCCAAAGAGUGGACCCCAGGACUGGUAGCCGCUAUUUAUGGCAUAGGAAACGCCAGCUACAAUACCCACCAAGUUCACAAUAAGGACUGUCGUUGGUGGGAUGAGAAGAGACGUCCACUUGAACACAUAGAGCUCUGCAAACUCCCCAUCAUCGUCCGAAGCUUUUGAAGUGACAGUAAAGUUGGUAUCAAUCCCAGCAAGAACUUUCAAAAGCCCCUGGAACACUGCAAAGAGAUGGGCUGAUGUACCACCAAUAACCCAGAAUUGCUCAUUCCUCCACCAGUCUUCAAUGCUGACACCACUCCACCUCAGCUCAAGUAUUCCAGUAGCGAAAAUGGAGAUGAAGAGGAGAAUGAACCACAUACUAGCAAAGUUGCUUAUCUCAGGAAUAAUAAACUUCCCAGUUAGAAGACAGAAGGCAGGAAGCAUGCAAUAAGCGAUCAGUGGGAUAGAGGUGAUUGGGUACACAAUGGUAUUAAUGUAUGCCAGCCUCUCCAGGAGCUUCAAUCUUCCAUUGUAGCCAUACCAUAUGGGGCAAUGCCUGCUCAACAAAAUCUCAAUUGAUCCCAAGGCCCAUCGAAGAACCUGGUUCAAUCGAUCAGAAAGAUUGAUUGGAGCAGACCCCUUGAAUGCUGGGCGUGGAGGCAUACAAUAUAUAGAUAUCCAACCCCGCGCAUGCAUCUUAAACCCAGUUAAAAUAUCUUCAGUCACAGAACCAUAGAUCCAUCCAAUCUCUUUGCCCCAUUCAGUCUUGUCUUCAUAUCCACAGCUGAUAACAUGGAUUGCUUCCUUUAAAAGAGUUGCAGGAUUGGUUGAUGGUGGAAUACCUCCCUGUUCCAUGAAGGUGGCUGCGAUAAAAACUGGUGACUGACCAAAUCGCUUUUCUAGACUCUUUUGAGACAUAAGAAGUGACCUCUCAUCAUCAUAUCCUGCAGACAUGAAGUAAGAAGUUAACUGAUCUUUGAACAUGCAAAACAAGAUUUAAGUUGGAGAAGAACCUUACAUAUGCAUGAAUGUAAUCAGAAGGACCUUUUAAAUAAUGGUCCAAUACUAGAACAACAGUCGUACACACCAACCAUGCAUAUGUAAGAUGUAACAUGCUCAAGAAAAAGUCUAAUUUACUGAAAUUCAAUACUUAUAGAGAUUAUAUUUAUAUUUAUAUUUUUUAAAAACUGUAGAUGAGAAUAAAGAGUCUGGAAAACAAACCUUCAACACCCUCCUCAAUAUCUUCCAUAUUGAAAAUGGGAACAGUGGAUUCAGUUCUUUUCAUUGCCCUCUUCUUGUCAAUAUACUUCUUAUUACCACUUCUUCCUUUCUUUCUUGAUCCACAACAACUCUUGACAAUAAUGUUUGGCUCCAAAUCUUCCUCGGUCAAAACUGGAUCAUAACCAUAUAGAGCUUGCCUGUUGAAACAACAACCAGUUCCCACAUAGACUGGACCCUGGAUGCCAUCUAGCCCUUUCAAGUUGAUAUCAAAGAACACAAUAUUGCGAUUGGCAUAUCGAUCAUGCAAGUCAAUGCCAUCAAAUCGCUGAGGGAACUGUACAUAGCAUGUUUUCUUGCCAAGGACAGGAUCCAUCAUGAAACACAUUGCUUCUUUAAGAGCUUUGCUGUUAUUGAAGUAGUGAUCACAAUCGACAUUCAAAAGAUAGGCACCGUUUGUCAAGACAGCCGAAACUCUAAUCUACAAUAACACAAAUAAAAACCAGGUCAGAAGAAAAAUCAGGUUUAGUAGAAACAAUAUUUUGGUACACGCAUGACCACCCCAUCUGGCAAACAAUAACUAAAUCACAGUGCACAUAAGCACCAGCGUCCUCUUAUUGAAUUAAAGAAGAAUGGAAUUUUACUGAACAGUCAUUAGUCAGCAUACAUAUAAAUAAGCAUCCCUAACACCAUCAUCUGUGACAAUAAUCAAAGACCAAAUUGCAAGGAGAGAUCAGAUAAGAGGCAUUAAGAUGACAAACCAAAGCAUUCAUUGCUCCAGCUUUCUUGUGAUGUUGGAAGCCAGGCCUCUUCUCACGAGAAACAUACACAAGUCGAGGUAGCUCAUUUCCAUCCGUAUCAAGGCCUCCACUGUGCCCUAAGAACACCUGAAUCAUUCCUGGAUGAUCCCUAGGAUUAUUUCCAGGCCAAGGAGUGCCAUCCUGCAUUGUCCAACCUUCUUCGGGCAUCUUCUGUGCUUUGGCAACAAGGGCGUUGAUCCGCACCUUGAAUUCCUCGUAUUCUCUCUUCAUUGCUCGGCGCUCUUUAACAAAAGAAGGUUUUAUCUUGUCCUUCAAAUAAUCAAUCUUUUGUGCAAAAUAAAACUCAGGUGCCCUAGGCUCAAUAUUGUGCUUCUUGCAGAAGGGCACCCAUUUCCUUGCGAACUCUGCAGUUUCGGAAAGGGCUUCAAAUGUCAACAUUGCUGAACCAUCGUCUGAAACAUAGCAAGAUACUUUGUCGACAGGGUAAUCAACAGCAAGUAUGGACAAAACAGUGUUUGCUGUAACAAGAGGAGGUUCUUUAAGGGGAUCCACUGUACUAACAAAGACAUCAACAGGUGCUAACUGUGAUGGUUCCCCUUCACGAUCAUAUCUCAAAGCAAGCCUGUCAAGGUAGGUCUCGCGGUUGAUGGGAGACCAUUUUGGAAACUGAUCCAAAAGCCAUGACAAGGCAAACCAAAUCUCACAAAUAACUGAUGUUAGCCACAAUGGGUAUGCAUCUUUCACUGGGUGAGUUACACGAUAUUGCAAGAAGAAGCCCAAAAUAAUAAGCCGGAGGAUGAUUACGACACGAUACGGGGUCAGGUGAGAGGAAGGAAUAGGUACGACACGACUCAAAGGUUGUCGAGCAUCAUCAGCCAUUUGGAGUUCUUCCCCAUUUGAACCUGUGCCUUCCAUGUCCCCCUUUCCUUCAUUGUAUCUAUUGGUCAUCUGCAUCAUAUUUUUCUCCUGUUUGAGUUUCCAACCCUCAACCCUCUCCUUCCAGUCAACAUUACCGAGGCCAUAAGUAUGCAAGUCCUUAGUCGGGUCCACAAUUCUAACAGGAACUGGCUGCCUUGGAUCAAUAUAAGGAGAUGAGUUAACAUUCUUUUCAGGAGGGCCCAAAGGCCCAGAUGUAGUUCGCACAGAUUGGGUGUCAGGUGUAGCACAGGGAAUUUCACCAGAAACCGGCUGCCCAUUCGUGAGAAGGGGAAUUGGCUGUUGUGACUCAUGCCUGGAUGAUGACGAAAGUUCUACAUCUUCACCCUGCCAUUGGCGUAUAGUCUUGCUAUUGCCUUGGGUAUAAUUGAAUUCAUUCUCUAGAUCAUCAACAUCAUCUUCAUCCUCGUCUCCCUCCACCCGAGGACUCCCUUUGUGCCUCUUGUACCUAGUCUUGCAUUGAGGACAAGACUGAGUACCAUCUUUCCGCUCAUACUCGUAACAAGGACGGCAAACUGGGAAGGCACACUCGUUGCAAGCAACAAAUGUGUCACCACUGGCAGUCAGUCCAACAUUAUCACCACAGAUCUGACAGGUUUGGCCAUUCAAAUUCUUGAGGGGUUUUGGCCCACUAUCGGAAUCGUGGCGAAUCCGGACCAACUCGUUCCUCCGGUAGGAACCGGCCACCAUGCCCGCAUUUGCUUCCAUAAUGGUAACGAUUGUCCAGGAUUCUCAAGACAGAAACAGAUCAGAUCUUGAUGGAAAUGCUAUGAAAAGGUAAGGGCCGUGAUCCGCUUACUUGGCUAUGGAAAACCAAGGGCAAUGAUGGUCCGCAGAGCCUUCGCCCACUCAAUACGCCAUCUGCCUGCUCCUUCUAGCUAUCACUCUAGCUAUCAAUGCUCGUCCUUUUAUUCUCUUCCUUUUUAUGUUAUUUUAUUGUGUUUGUUAGGAUUUACCGGCUCAACCGGUUUCUCAUCUCUCACCUCAGCUCAGCCGGCUUCCCCGUUGCAGCCUCGGCCCUUGCACAGCCCUAAUAAUAAUAAUAAUAAUAAU
This 4670-nucleotide unclassified non-coding RNA is filed under the name Hevea brasiliensis (rubber tree). The record is from RNAcentral. Lineage: Eukaryota; Viridiplantae; Streptophyta; Magnoliopsida; Malpighiales; Euphorbiaceae.